UAAGGAAUAUUGGACAAUGGUUGCAAGACUGAUCCAGCCAUGCCGCGUGCAGGAAGACGGCCCUAUGGGUUGUAAACUGCUUUUGUACCAGAGAAAACCUAUCUACGUGUAGAUAGCUGAUAGUAUGGUAAGAAUAAGCAUCGGCUAACUUCGUGCCAGCAGCCGCGGUAAGACGAAGGAUGCAAGCGUUAUCCGGAUUCAUUGGGUUUAAAGGGUGCGUAGGCGGGCUUGUAAGUCAGUGGUGAAAUCUCUCAGCUUAACUGAGAAACUGCCAGUGAUACUGCAGGCCUAGAGUAUAGAUGACGUUGGCGGAAUAUGACAUGUAGUGGUGAAAUACUUAGAUAUGUCAUAGAACACCGAUUGCGAAGGCAGCUAACGAAACUAUAACUGACGCUGAGGCACGAAAGUGCGGGGAUCAAACA
Molecule: ribosomal RNA, 422 nt
Filed under: uncultured bacterium
Lineage: Bacteria
Description: bacterial SSU rRNA
Rfam family: Bacterial small subunit ribosomal RNA
Source: RNAcentral